GGCCAGCGCCGGGGCGCUACUUCUAGUGCUUUUUCCAGCGCCGGGGCGCUAGGGGGCAGACUCCAGCGCCGUUGCCCAGCGCUGGGGCGCUGGGGGAAGGGUUUGGUGCGGCCUGGACGCGUUUUGGGCGAAUUUUGACACCUUUUUGACUCCAAAUAGGAUUGGGUUUGUUCCUAAACUAAAAAUUGGACUUGUAACCUAUAAAUACAUGAUGUAAGGCAUAAAAUAAAGGGAGAUUACAUAGCUUAGCCUAGAUUAAACACUCCUUUAGAUUAGAAAAUAACCCUAGUUCUUAUUAGUUUUGGAGAUUGAAGCAACUUGGAGACCAUUGAAGAUCAAGAGCAAGAGCAAGAGGGGAGCAUCAGAUUUGCUGACAACAGAUUCUAUUCUCUUCUCUCAUCUUACUUUUAUCUUUUGAUGUCUAUUCAGUUGUGGAUUCUUGGUUUUAAUUCAUUAAUUAUGAACUAACUAUUUUUGAGAUUUCAAUUGAACUUUUUAUGGCUAUGAAUUAGUUAUUCAUUAUAUUCUAAUUAUUUAUGUUAAAGUGAGUUGUUUAUCUUGUCUUGUGCUUAUUGCUUAAUUAUUUGAUCAGUAAUUACUUUGUUACUCUAGAAGGAAUUGGAAGAGGAAUUCUAGGGUUAGAACUGGGCAUGAUAUCAUGUGACUUAGUUAUUUGCAUGGUGAAAAAUUAGGUUUGUGAAUUGAAUGGAAAUAUCUGUUCGCCGCAUGUAACACGUAAGGAAUUGGGAUUGGAAAGAGUUUAAUUCAAUUGUUUUGCAUAGGAAUAUAGCAAGAUUAAUCUGGAUUAAAUAGAAGGCAAUUGAUCACUUGGAAAAGGACUUUUGGCAUUUGAGAAUUCCUGUUAACAAUUCAGUAGGCAUAAUAAUUGGGAUAAUUGGAUAAUUGAUUUAUAAUUCAUAAUUGGGGAUAUUGAAGUCUUAAUCUUUAUUUAUUUGAAUUCAUUCGUUAAAAUCUUAGUUUUAAUUAGUUAAUUUAGUUUUCUUAAUUAGAAAAAACACGAUUUGAGAUUGUUUAAAUAAAAUUAGUUUGGUUAAGAAUUAGUACUUGGUGAUUUUUAUUAAAUAAUUCCUCGUGGGAACGAUACUCUACUUUCACUUUAUUACUUGUUGACCGUGUAUACUUGCACGUAUUCAUUGAUUGCGAAAUCGAUCAACAAGUUUUUGGCGCCGUUGCCGGGGAAUUAAUUUAAUAAUUAUUUACCAAUAUUAAUUUCAAUCAAAUUAGUCUUAAUUUAAACAUUUUUAUUUUUAUUUUUAAUUCUCUUUCUAUAUUUCUCUCUUUUCAGGUACCAUGGAUGACUUUGUGUAUCAAUGGCCAUACACGAACAUGACUCAACCAAGGGGAGUGGAGAUUGAAAGACUCGAGAAACUUUCUGCAUUGUCAGCACAGAUUGAGACACUUUCGAGGAUGUUUGAAGCUUUUGAAGCUCAGCGUCGUCAAAGUAUGGUGGUUACUUGUGAUUAUUGUGCUGGAAAUCAUAUGAGUCAUCAAUGCACCAUCAGUUUCGAGCCGGUACAGUAUAGUGGUGAUUACCCCAAUAAUUAUGUCUAUCCCAACAACUAUCAUCAGGAUUGGGGGUAUCACCCGGAUUUUUCAUGGAGUAACAAUCAAGAUCAAUUUUAUGCUCCAAGUCCAACAUACCCACAGGAUUUCUUGUGUCCACCUCCACUACAACAGGAAGAACAUUCAAAUUGGGAGGAAGCCUUGGAAAAAUUUAUUAAAGCUUCUGAAAAAAGGAAUGAGGAACAAGACAAGAAAAUGAAUCAAGUAGAGCUGAAUUUGCAAAGCCAAGGGGCGUUGAUCAAGAAUUUGGAAAAUCAAGUGGAACAGAUAGCACAUGCGUUGAACAACCGUCCUCAAUACACCUGGCCCUAUGACAUGGAUUCCGAGCCCGAUGGUGAGCCCGAGCCAAAUCUACAACUGGAUGAGCCACGAGAUGAAAAAGAGGAGACAAGUGGGGAUAAUGACAACAAGGUCGGUGAAGAACUAAUUGUGAGAACCAAUGAUGAUGAGCCAAUGUUAUUUAUGCCUCAAGUGCCUUCUCCUCCACAGUUCAAGAGUCCGGUUAGAUUUGCAAAACCUUGUCCGAUUGGUAGUCAUGUCGUCGGCAAUACUCUCUGUGAUGUAAAAGCAAGUACACCUUCGAAACCAUGGUGCGAUGAGCUGGAGAAGAUAGAAGAAGAAACUGUUGUGUCUGACAAGCUUCAAUACCAGAAUAUAUUCGCAGACACAAUGGAGAAACCACCUAGAUGCUGGACGUUCUUGAAUGUGAUCUUAUCUAAAGAAAGCAUGCUAGGUGACUUUAAUACAAUGGCUAUCGUAAAUGGGAACCUACCAAAAGCUAUAUUAUUUCCGAUGGAUGGAGGGUUCCUCAACUUUCGUAGGGGAAUUGGAUAGAGAAUUGAAGAAGUCAGGCUGAGACUAUAAAACAAGCGCUUAUUGGGAGGCAACCCAAGUUUAAUUUUUAUUUUUAGUUUUUAUUAAGUUUUAUAUUAGUAGUUUUGAAUUUGCAUUUAUUUAGGAUUUAAUAAAAUUGCUUCUAUCAUGGUUUUACAGGUUAUUCAAGUCAAAUUCAAGUGUGGUGCCCAAUUUGUUCCAUGUGCUUAGCCUAUUCUCCAAACUUAGCGGGCAAGGAGGAAGAUUGCUAUAUUUUCAGGGAAGUCCUCUGCUUUAAUUUUUUCUAUUUCAGUCAUUGAGGACAAUGUCUAGUUUAAGUUUGGGGGCAUUUUAGUGUCGUAUUGCAUAUAGUUAGUUAUUUACAUUGUAGUUCGUUAUGUUUUCGGGUUAUUUACAUUUAGUUGUUGCAUUCGUUUUUUUUUUUUUUUUUUUUUUAAAAAAAAAAAUUUAAAAAUCGCAAAAAUAGUAGUUAGUUUACUAUGUUUGUUGCAGUUAGUUUAUAUUUGCAUGAUUCCAACUGUUAGAUAGUAAAAGUCUAUUUUGGCCAAUGAUGAGACUGGAGUUAAGUAGAUAAGUAUAGUAUUGAAUAUUCAGGCUUUGAUGUGAUUUCUUGUUAUGAAUUGAAUCUUUUCCUGUUUGAAACUGGUAUAAUCAAGGUUAGCACGUUAAUAACAGCUAUGUUAACUGAUUAAGUUUAAAUUGAUACAUAAUGGAUUUCUUAAGUAUAAUACUAGUGUGAAGGAAUGAAAGACAUGAAUAGGCGGAGAUGGCUAAAUUUUGAUAAAAACUUAAGUUUGGGGGGAAAUUUUGGGGUAUAUAAGUUUAAAAAAAAAAACAUGUUGAGUCUUGUGGUGGGUUGAGGAGAAACACUCCCCAUAAACACAAGCGUGAGAUGGAGCGUAAAACGCACUCACCAACCAUCUAUAAAAAAAAAAAAAAAAAAAAAAAAAUUACCGUGGCUAGUUUUGUUUCGGGGCCUUUGUUACUUGAGUAAGUACGCCCGAAGGGGUAUCUUAAAACCUAGCGCCCUAAGGUCUUAUAUGGUCUGGGAGUCGUUGGUCGAAAGCUCGCUAAGGGGUGACACUGUUAGCCUAAUGGAAUGAGACAUUGCACAGUUAUGGUUAAAAAAAAAACAAUAAAACGGGAAAAGAGCAAAAAGCCCCCGUAAUGAAAAGUAAAGCAUAAGUAUCCCAGAUUGGACUCUUGAACUUGGUGGAUGUUUGACUUUAGUUGGAUAUAGCUUGUUCGUGAAUUUUGUGAAUUUGCACUGUAUGAUGCCUUCAAAGAUAUCUAUUAUGUCUUAAAUUUGAUUUUAUAUCAGUUAACAUUGUUGUGGAGCACACACGCACUAUAUCAGUGAUAACAGUCUAAGAUUUGAUGAUUGAUUGGGAAAUUACUGAUUUGUUUUAAUAUGAUGUAUUAUCAUGUUUACUUGAUUUCUCUAAGGCCGGUUGAAUAGACUUGUUUCUGUCAUUACUGUUGGAUUCGUAGGCAUAUAGAUUAGUUUCAUUACAUUGCAUUGCAUAACAUUUUUGUGUUUUUGCUUGAGGACAAGCAAAGAUUUAAGUUUGGGGGUAUUUGAUGAGUGAGUUUUAUACCCAUGAAUUGGAUACAUUCGGGCUUAAUUUAUUGUUGUUCUUAAGUCUUUUAGGAUGUUUUUAUGUGUUUGUGUCUAUUCAUGCAUGUUUUAUGUUAUUUUAUAGGAAUUGGGACAAAAGUUACAUGGAUCGAUGUUUGGGGUGGCUAGAUUCGCGUUUUCGGCUUGCCAUUUACACAGCAGUCACUUCAGAGCCAAUUUGACUAUAGCUCCUGACAUUAUUUCGAAAAACUCAAAGAAUGAAAGUUGUAGAUCUACUUCUCCUCUUUCCGGAACAUCUUGAAUCAUCGAAAUCGGAGUUCGGACGAAGAAGUUAUGGCCAUUUUCCCAAAGGACGUCGGAGCAGAAAAUGUCGGAUUUUGGGCCAGCGCCGGGGCGCUACUCUUAGUGCAUUUUCCAGCGCCGGGGCGCUAGGGGGCAGACUCCAGCGCCGUUGCCCAGCGCUGGGGCGCUGGGGGAAGGGUUUGGUGCGGCCUGGACGCGUUUUGGGCGAAUUUUGACACCUUUUUGACUCCAAAUAGGAUUGGGUUUGUUCCUAAACUAAAAAUUGGACUUGUAACCUAUAAAUACAUGAUGUAAGGCAUAAAAUAAAG
Molecule: long non-coding RNA, 4608 nt
Filed under: Panax ginseng (ginseng)
Lineage: Eukaryota; Viridiplantae; Streptophyta; Magnoliopsida; Apiales; Araliaceae
Description: long non-coding RNA (PGIN_LNC013651)
Source: RNAcentral